RNAcentral lists this ribosomal RNA (309 nucleotides) under uncultured bacterium. RNAcentral's name for it is "partial 16S ribosomal RNA". It matches the Rfam family "Bacterial small subunit ribosomal RNA", at positions 504 to 809 of the family's 1533-position model. The record is from RNAcentral.
AGAGACAGCAGUAGCCGCGGGAAUACAGAGGGUGCGAGCGUUAAUCGGAUUUACUGGGCGUAAAGCGUGCGUAGGCGGCUUCUUAAGUCGGAUGUGAAAUCCCUGAGCUUAACUUAGGAAUUGCAUUCGAUACUGGGAAGCUAGAGUAUGGGAGAGGAUGGUAGAAUUCCAGGUGUAGCGGUGAAAUGCGUAGAGAUCUGGAGGAAUACCGAUGGCGAAGGCAGCCAUCUGGCCUAAUACUGACGCUGAGGUACGAAAGCAUGGGGAGCAAACAGGAUUAGAUACCCCUGUAGUCCCUGUCUCUUAUAA